Molecule: ribosomal RNA, 386 nt
Filed under: uncultured prokaryote
Description: bacterial SSU rRNA
Rfam family: Archaeal small subunit ribosomal RNA
Source: RNAcentral
GCGCGAAAACUUUACAAUGCUGGCAACAGCGAUAAGGGAACCUCGAGUGCCAGGUUACAAAUCUGGCUGUCGAGAUGCCUAAAAAGCAUUUCAUAGCAAGGGCCGGGCAAGACCGGUGCCAGCCGCCGCGGUAACACCGGCGGCUCGAGUGGUAACCGUUAUUAUUGGGUCUAAAGGGUCUGUAGCCGGCCGGAUAAGUCUCUUGAGAAAUCUGGCAGCUUAACUGUCAGGCUUUCAGGAGAUACUGUCUGGCUCGAGGCCGGGAGAGGUGAGAGGUACUUCAGGGGUGGGGGUGAAAUCUGGUAAUCCUUGAAGGACCACCAGGGGCGAGGUCGUCUCACCAGAACGGACCUGACGGCAAGGGACGAAAGCUAGGGGCACGAACC